Molecule: long non-coding RNA, 1962 nt
Organism: Passer domesticus (house sparrow)
Lineage: Eukaryota; Metazoa; Chordata; Aves; Passeriformes; Passeridae
Exons: 4
Source: RefSeq, a predicted model, not a curated record
GCGCGUUGGGGCCGUCCCGAGCCAAAAUCUCUGCUGCUCUUGCACUCGAGAGACCCUGCAGAAGGAGGUGACGUGUUUACAGUGAAAUCACAAACUGAUUUUUACCCCAGCCCAGAGCAAAAUGCACGUGCUGCUGUUUUUUCACACAUUUACAAUGAAAUCGCAAACAGAUUUUUACCCCAGCUCAGAGCAAAAUGCACGUGCUGCUGGUUUUUCACACAUUUACAGUGAAACCACAACAAAAUGCUUGUGCUGAUGUUUCUUUCAAGGUUGUUUGUGUCACAAACCAGCUGCAACUCUGAUUUCCAAACCUCCUGAUUUCAGAGUGGCUGCUAUUAAUUAUCUGCUCUGGAGAAAGAGCUAUUUCUUAUUUCUUCUGGAGCACUGAAUUUGGGGUCGCAUCCAUCAGGAGUUUCCAUUCCGUUGGUUAUCAAUCAAAUAUACCUGGACUAAGUGUUUGGAAAGUCAGGGGAAAACUGACAUUCUUUUGCUGCUGCUUCUGCAUUUCCACAAGGUGUUAGUAGCCCAGGAAGUUCUUGAAAUUCUUGUCUGGGUUCUGGCCACGUUCAGUGCUUUGAUAUUCAAAUGUCAGGUGUCAAAGGGACUCAGGUUCAGUUUUUCAAAUCUAGAUUUUCCUUCAAAAUCAGCUCAAUCCAUGCAGUCUUUGGCUAUAAACUGUCACAGUGAAAAGUGAAUUGUGGCGAAAUCAAAGGAUCAGAUAACAGCUUUAGAAAAAAUGAGGUCCUGGUGCAAAACCCUGAGUCCCAUUUUUGAUUUCAAAGCAGUAGCUCAGCUUUCUUCAGCCUCGAGAGAAACUCCGCUUUAAAUCCAGAGCAGUGCUCGCUGGCUUGCUGGUUGAGGCUUUACUGAGAGCAUCAAUGCAGGCACCCACACACAUCUAACAAUGGAAUUCCUGCUCCUGGGAGCUCUGGGGAGGCCAGAGGCACCUGACUGAGGCAGUUCCUUAAGGAAGCCCUGGGCACUUACUUUGUCGAUGCUGGUACCGUACUUCAUCUCCAGCUCCGAGGUGCUGAGCCUGUGGUCAUCCUGCAUGCCAAGAGAGACAGGAAAUUACAGUGAGCAAAGCAUCAGACUGAUGGAAAUUUUUAUUUCCAGACUGCCUGGAUCUGGGAACAUGGAUGAAGCUUCUUGUAAGACACCCCACUUUCAUUAAUUAGAUAAAUCUGCAUAUUGAUGAGCAAAAUAUCUUCCACUGGAAGAUGAGAUUUUUUCUUUUUGAUAUGCAGAGUGCUUUUGUAAAUAGCUCCCUCCUCCAGCAAAUCUGUCACAAGAACAGGGUGGUGUGUUCAUGUUUCUGUUGCUUGCCACGAGGGGCUGUGCUUCUUUUGGAUAAAUCAUUUUCAGUCUGCAUGCUGCAGGGCUCAGAGUGUGUGACAACAACCUCUGCCCUUGAUUGCCAGGGUAGGGAAUGUGAAUUAUCCUCCUCAGUCUGGUGGAAAGAGGCAACAGGUUCUAAGCACAGAAACACGGGAGUGGAGUUACAUGCCCCGGUGGCAAAGGCAACACAGACAGAAAUAUUUACCUGCUGCUGGGCAGAUCUUGGAAACGUGCUGGGUGAAUGGGAUGAUGAAUGGGCUGGUUCUGCCUGAGGGAGCGUGUUUAAGAACAAGGUGAAAGAGGCUGACUGUGCUACGAGGAGGACAAAGCUGGGAACCCCAGAUGGAGGGUGCAAAACACAGCCAAAAUCCCAAAAAGUUUCUGUUUCACAAUGGGGAACUUGGUUGUGCAAAGCAAUAAGGGACAUCAGACCAAAAAUCUCCAUUGCCAAGUCUUCUGGUCUUUUAAGGGAUGUGGGAUGAUUUAUGUCUGUGUUUACUGACAGCUCGGAGCAGAUUCAGCUUUAUUUCCUUUAUUCAUGUUUAAGGAAAAGCAGCAGCCAAGGUAAGACAGCAACAUUUGCUGAACAAGCUUUCCUCCACAAAAACGCAAUCCUCGCACCGA